This 544-nucleotide ribosomal RNA is filed under the name uncultured beta proteobacterium. Its description in RNAcentral is "bacterial SSU rRNA". It matches the Rfam family "Bacterial small subunit ribosomal RNA", at positions 35 to 570 of the family's 1533-position model. Lineage: Bacteria; Pseudomonadati; Pseudomonadota; Betaproteobacteria. The record is from RNAcentral.
GCUGGCGGGAUGCUUUACACAUGCAAGUCGAACGGCAGCAUAGAGAGCUUGCUCUCUGAUGGCGAGUGGCGAACGGGUGAGUAAUAUAUCGGAACGUGCCCAGUAAUGGGGAAUAACUAGCCGAAAGGUUAGCUAAUACCGCAUACGACCUACGGGUGAAAGCAGGGGAUCUUAGGACCUUGCGUUAUUGGAGCGGCCGAUAUCUGAUUAGCUUGUUGGUGGGGUAAAAGCCUACCAAGGCAACGAUCAGUAGCUGGUCUGAGAGGACGAUCAGCCACACUGGAACUGAGACACGGUCCAGACUCCUACGGGAGGCAGCAGUGGGGAAUUUUGGACAAUGGGGGAAACCCUGAUCCAGCCAUCCCGCGUGAGUGAAGAAGGCCUUCGGGUUGUAAAGCUCUUUCGAAAGUGAAGAAAACUUAUUUCGUAAUAUGUUAUAAGUAUGACGGUAACUUUAGAAGAAGCACCGGCUAACUACGUGCCAGCAGCCGCGGUAAUACGUAGGGUGCGAGCGUUAAUCGGAAUUACUGGGCGUAAAGCGUGC